This 20-nucleotide non-coding RNA is filed under the name Rattus norvegicus (Norway rat). Lineage: Eukaryota; Metazoa; Chordata; Mammalia; Rodentia; Muridae. The record is from RNAcentral.
UUUGUACAAGGAGAGUUGCC